Molecule: ribosomal RNA, 817 nt
Filed under: uncultured Actinomycetes bacterium
Lineage: Bacteria; Bacillati; Actinomycetota; Actinomycetes
Description: bacterial SSU rRNA
Rfam family: Bacterial small subunit ribosomal RNA
Source: RNAcentral
ACUCCUACGGGAGGCAGCAGUGGGGAAUAUUGCGCAAUGGGCGGAAGCCUGACGCAGCAACGCCGCGUGAGGGAUGACGGCCUUCGGGUUGUAAACCUCUUUCGCGAUCGACGAAGCCGGUGACGGUAGGUCGAGAAGAAGCACCGGCCAACUACGUGCCAGCAGCCGCGGUAAUACGUAGGGUGCGAGCGUUGUCCGGAAUUAUUGGGCGUAAAGAGCUCGUAGGCGGUGUGUCGCGUCGGCCGUGAAAACCUGGGGCUCAACUCUGGGCGUGCGGUCGAUACGGGCACACUUGAGUUCGGCAGGGGAGACUGGAAUUCCUGGUGUAGCGGUGAAAUGCGCAGAUAUCAGGAGGAACACCGGUGGCGAAGGCGGGUCUCUGGGCCGAUACUGACGCUGAGGAGCGAAAGCAUGGGGAGCGAACAGGAUUAGAUACCCUGGUAGUCCAUGCCGUAAACGUUGGGCGCUAGGUGUGGGGUCCAUUCCACGGGUUCCGUGCCGCAGCUAACGCAUUAAGCGCCCCGCCUGGGGAGUACGGCCGCAAGGCUAAAACUCAAAGGAAUUGACGGGGGCCCGCACAAGCGGCGGAGCAUGUGGAUUAAUUCGAUGCAACGCGAAGAACCUUACCUGGGUUUGACAUGCACCGGACGCGUCCAGAGAUGGGCGUUCCUUGUGGUCGGUGUGCAGGUGGUGCAUGGCUGUCNUCAGCUCGUGUCGUGAGAUGUUGGGUUAAGUCCCGCAACGAGCGCAACCCUCGUUCUAUGUUGCCAGCACGUAAUGGUGGGGACUCAUAGGAGACUGCCGGGGUCAACUCGGA